GAUGAACGCUGGCGGCGUGCCUAAUACAUGCAAGUCGAGCGAACAGACGAGGAGCUUGCUCCUCUGACGUUAGCGGCGGACGGGUGAGUAACACGUGGAUAACCUACCUAUAAGACUGGGAUAACUUCGGGAAACCGGAGCUAAUACCGGAUAAUAUAUUGAACCGCAUGGUUCAAUAGUGAAAGACGGUUUUGCCGUCACUUAUAGAUGGAUCCGCGCCGCAUUAGCUAGUUGGUAAGGUAACGGCUUACCAAGGCAACGAUGCGUAGCCGACCUGAGAGGGGGUGCGCCCCCACGGGAAUGAGACACGGGCCAGACUCCCUCGGGGAGGCACAAGAGGGAAUUUUUCCGAAAGGGGCGAAAGUUUGACGGACCAACGCCGCGUGGUGGAUGAGGUUCUUGGGUUCGAAAAACUUUUUUAUGGGGAAAAAAAAAAUGUGUAAGUAAAUAUGCCCGUCUUGACGGUCCCUAAUAAAAAACCCACGGCUAACUACGUG
This 497-nucleotide ribosomal RNA is filed under the name uncultured bacterium. Its description in RNAcentral is "partial 16S ribosomal RNA". It matches the Rfam family "Bacterial small subunit ribosomal RNA", at positions 28 to 507 of the family's 1533-position model. The record is from RNAcentral.